GAUGAAGAACGUAGCGAAAUGCGAUAAGUAGUGUGAAUUGCAGAAUUCAGUGAAUCAUCGAAUCUUUGAACGCACAUUGCGCCCUUUUGUAUUCCAAAGGGCAUGCCUGUUCGAGCGUCAUUUGUACCCUCAAGCUUUGCUUGGUGUUGGGCGUCUUGUCUCUAGCUUUGCUGGAGACUCGCCUUAAAGUAAUUGGCAGCCGGCCUACUGGUUUCGGAGCGCAGCACAAGUCGCACUCUCUAUCAGCAAAGGUCUAGCAUCCAUUAAGCCUUUUUUUCAACUUUUGACCUCGGAUCAGGUAGGGAUACCCGCUGAACUUAAGCAUAUCAAUAAGCGGAGGA
Molecule: unclassified non-coding RNA, 341 nt
Filed under: soil metagenome
Description: partial contains 5.8S ribosomal RNA, internal transcribed spacer 2, and large subunit ribosomal RNA
Rfam family: 5.8S ribosomal RNA (bases 1-120)
Source: RNAcentral